AUUGAACGCUGGCGGCAGGCUUAACACAUGCAAGUCGAGCGGGGGAAGGUAGCUUGCUACUGGACCUAGCGGCGGACGGGUGAGUAAUGCUUAGGAAUCUGCCUAUUAGUGGGGGACAACAUCUCGAAAGGGAUGCUAAUACCGCAUACGUCCUACGGGAGAAAGCAGGGGAUCUUCGGACCUUGCGCUAAUAGAUGAGCCUAAGUCGGAUUAGCUAGUUGGUGGGGUAAAGGCCUACCAAGGCGACGAUCUGUAGCGGGUCUGAGAGGAGGAUCCGCCACACUGGGACUGAGACACGGCCCAGACUCCUACGGGAGGCAGCAGUGGGGAAUAUUGGACAAUGGGGGGAACCCUGAUCCAGCCAUGCCGCGUGUGCGAAGAAGGCCUUAUGGUUGUAAAGCACUUUAAGCGAGGAGGAGGCUACUUUAGUUAAUACCUAGAGAUAGUGGACGUUACUCGCAGAAUAAGCACCGGCUAACUCUGUGCCAGCCGCCGCCGUAA
RNAcentral lists this ribosomal RNA (501 nucleotides) under uncultured bacterium. RNAcentral describes it as "partial 16S ribosomal RNA". It matches the Rfam family "Bacterial small subunit ribosomal RNA", at positions 30 to 523 of the family's 1533-position model. The record is from RNAcentral.